GGUUUGAUUCUGGCCUGUGAUUGAACGCUGGCGGAUGCUUUACCACAUGCAAGUCGAACGGCAGCACGGACUUCGGUCUGGUGGCGAGUGGCGAACGGGUGAGUAAUGUAUCGGAACGUGCUCAAGGUAGCGGGGAUAAUCUACGGUGCCAAUACCGCACACACCCUUCGGGGGAAAGCGGGGACCUCGGGCCCGCACUAUUAGAGCGGCCGAUAUCGGAUUAGCUAGUUGGUGGGGUAACGGUCACUCAAGGCGACGAUCCGCAGCUGGUUUGAGAGACUGACCAGCCACACUGGGACUGAGACACGGCCCAGACUCCUACGGGAGGCAGCAGCUGGGGAAUUUGACAAUGGGGAAACCCUGAUCCAGCCAUCUCGCGUGUGCGAUGAAGGCCUUCGGGUUGUAAAGCACUUUGCAGGAAGAACGGCACGGGAUAAUACCCUCGUGCAACUGACGGUACCUGCAGAAUAAGCACCGGCUGACUACGUGCCAGCAGCCGCGGUAAUACGUAGGUGCAAGCGUUAAUUUGAAUUACUGGGCGUAAAGGUAAGCGCAGGCGGUUCGGAAAGAAAGAUGUGAAAUCCCAGAGCUUAACUUUGAACUGCAUUUUUAACUACCGAGCUAGAGUGUGUCAGAGUGGGAGGCGGAAUUCCGCGUGUAGCAGUGAAAUGCGUAGAUAUGCGGAGGAACACCGAUGGCGAAGGCAGCUCUCCUGAUAACACUGACGCUCAUGCACGAAAGCGUGGGGAGCAAACAGGAUUAGAUACCCUGAAAUCCACGCCCUAAACGAUGUCAACUAGCUAAGCUAGCCUUCGGGCCUGGUAGCGCAGCUAACGCGUGAAGUUGACCGCCUGGGGAGUACGGUCAAAGAUUAAAACUCAAAGUAAUUGACGGGGACUCGCACAAGCGGUGGAUGAUGUGGAUUAAUUCGAUGCAACGCGAAAACCUUACCCACCCUUGACAUGUCUGGAAUCCCGAAGAGAUUUGGGAGUGCUCGCAAGAGAACCGGAACACAGGUGCUGCAUGGCUGUCGUCAGCUCGUGUCGAUGUUGGGUUAAGUCCCGCAACGAGCGCGCAACCCUUGUCAUUAGUUGCUACGAAAGGCACUCCACGAGACUGCCGGUGACAAACUGGAGGAAGGUGGGGAUGACGUCAAGUCCAUGGCCCUUGGGCGGUAGGGCUUCACACGUCAUACAAUGGUCGGGACAGAGGGUCGCCAACCCGCGAGGGGAGCCAAUCCCAGAAACCUGAUCGUAGUCCGGAUCGCAGUCUGCAACUCGACUGCGUGAAGUCGGAAUCGCUAGUAAUCGCGGAUCAGCAUGUCGCGGUGAAUACGUUCCUGGUCUGUACACACCGCCCGUCACACCAUGGGAGUGGGUUUUACCAGAAGUAGUUAGCCUAACCGUAAGGAGGGCGAUUACCACGGUAGGAUUCAUGACUGGGGUGAAGUCGUAACAAGGUAG
RNAcentral lists this ribosomal RNA (1463 nucleotides) under uncultured Bordetella sp. Its description in RNAcentral is "partial 16S-23S ribosomal RNA intergenic spacer". It matches the Rfam family "Bacterial small subunit ribosomal RNA". The record is from RNAcentral. Lineage: Bacteria; Pseudomonadati; Pseudomonadota; Betaproteobacteria; Burkholderiales; Alcaligenaceae.